Molecule: transfer RNA, 52 nt
Filed under: Cryptocercus punctulatus (brown-hooded cockroach)
Lineage: Eukaryota; Metazoa; Arthropoda; Insecta; Blattodea; Cryptocercidae
Description: tRNA-Glu
Source: RNAcentral
CAUAAUAUAGUUUAUAAAAAAUAUUACAUUUUCAAUGUAGAAAUUAUUAUUU